AUUGAACGCUGGCGGCAUGCCUUACACAUGCAAGUCGAACGGCAGCACGGGAGCUUGCUCCUGGUGGCGAGUGGCGAACGGGUGAGUAAUACAUCGGAACGUACCCUGAAGUGGGGGAUAACGUAGCGAAGGUUACGCUAAUACCGCAUAUUCUGUGAGCAGGAAAGAGGGGGAUCGCAAGACCUCUUGCUUUAGGAGCGGCCGAUGUCGGAUUAGCUAGUUGGUGAGGUAAAGGCUCACCAAGGCGACGAUCCGUAGCGGGUCUGAGAGGAUGAUCCGCCACACUGGGACUGAGACACGGCCCAGACUCCUACGGGAGGCAGCAGUGGGGAAUUUUGGACAAUGGGCGCAAGCCUGAUCCAGCCAUGCCGCGUGAGUGAAGAAGGCC
RNAcentral lists this ribosomal RNA (388 nucleotides) under uncultured bacterium. Its description in RNAcentral is "bacterial SSU rRNA". It matches the Rfam family "Bacterial small subunit ribosomal RNA", at positions 30 to 416 of the family's 1533-position model. The record is from RNAcentral.